AAAAAACUGGAGGAACUCAGAUCUACCAGCCUACGUCAGGUCUCACCAAUAUACAAGAGGCCACAUUGGGAGCACCGGACACAGUAGACGACUCCAAAAAAAAACUCACAGGACCAUCUACCACUCCAGGUAUUAUCUCACUCAGGAAUCAAUGAUGAAGUUAACUUGGAAGAAGUAUUACAGAGAGCACCAGGAACACCUGAAUGUGCAAGCAAGAAGUGAAGGAGCAGUGUGCAUGAUUGGGAGCUUUAAAACUUCAGCAAACUCGAUGAAAUGCUCUUGAUAGAUUUACACGGAACAAUGAAGAAGAAUAUGUAAAGAUGGUCAAGAUGCAGAAUUUUAAAAUCAGCAUGUGAGCAAAGUAUGCAAAUAAACCUGGC
Long non-coding RNA from Mobula hypostoma (lesser devil ray), 380 nucleotides. RefSeq lists it as uncharacterized. NCBI's taxonomy places the organism in Eukaryota, Metazoa, Chordata, Chondrichthyes, Myliobatiformes, Myliobatidae. The transcript is spliced from 4 exons. The record is from RefSeq and is a predicted model, not a curated record.